GGAUCAUUAUUGAAAUUAUAGGCGAGGGUUGUAGCUGGCCUCUCGGGGCAUGUGCACGCCNGAGCCCUUAAUCCACACACACCUGUGAACCUAUUGUAAGGGCCCUUAAAAAAGGCCUUUACGUCUUAUCAUCAACCCAUCGUAUGUCUCAUAGAAUGUAAAUAUAUGUCCUCGCCUUAAAAAGCGUUGAUAAACUUAUACAACUUUCAACAACGGAUCUCUUGGCUCUCGCAUCGAUGAAGAACGCAGCGAAAUGCGAUAAGUAAUGUGAAUUGCAGAUUUUCAGUGAAUCAUCGAAUCUUUGAACGCACCUUGCGCUCCUUGGUAUUCCGAGGAGCAUGCCUGUUUGAGUGUCAUUAAAUUCUCAACUCCGAUCGAUUUGUUUCGACUUCGGAGCUUGGAUUUGGAGCGUGCUGGCGUCGGUCGGCUCCUCUUAAAUGCAUCAGCGGAAUCUAACGUUUCGGAUGUCAGUGUGAUAAUCAUGUUGCGCUGUCUGUCUGAUCCGAAAGCCCGCUCAC
This 518-nucleotide ribosomal RNA is filed under the name Piloderma fallax. RNAcentral describes it as "eukaryotic LSU rRNA". The stretch from base 202 to 356 matches the Rfam family "5.8S ribosomal RNA". The record is from RNAcentral. Lineage: Eukaryota; Fungi; Basidiomycota; Agaricomycetes; Atheliales; Atheliaceae.